This 253-nucleotide ribosomal RNA is filed under the name uncultured bacterium. Its description in RNAcentral is "partial 16S ribosomal RNA". It matches the Rfam family "Bacterial small subunit ribosomal RNA", at positions 524 to 776 of the family's 1533-position model. The record is from RNAcentral.
UACGUAGGGUGCAGGCGUUAAUCGGAAUUACUGGGCGUAAAGCGUGCGCAGGCGGUUUGCUAAGAGAGAUGUGAAAUCCCCGGGCUUAACCUGGGAACUGCAUCUGUGACUGCAUCGCUGGAGUGCGGCAGAGGGGGAUGGAAUUCCGCGUGUAGCAGUGAAAUGCGUAGAUAUCGAGAGGAACACCUGCGGCGAAGGCGGGUUGCUGGGCUGAUACUGACGCUGAGGCGCGAAAGCGUGGGGAGCGAACAGG